UCAGCUGUACGCGUGAGAAUAGAAGAGGUCACAUAUAAUGUUGACAGCGAAGAUAAAAUUGCAAGAGGCACCGUAGUGCAAUCUAUCAAUCAAGGGAUAGAGGCUCUUGAAAAAGACGACGAGAUGCAAUUUUUCUGGAAACACUUUUGUGACUUCCCAUCAUUGAAAGAGAACAAAACUUACAUAAUAAUAGGCAGAGAUGGCAAUAAAGUUAAUGCUGAUAGCGGAGUAAUUUACCGGUAUCCAUUAAUGGGAUCAACAUUAGUCAUGGAGUAUAUAAGCCCUAAGCAGGCUAGGAGAAUGGGAAGGAAAUAUAGAAUACUCCGCACGGUCCAGACCAAUUUCGAACACCUAAUGAAAGCAGGUUGUCAGCUCUAGAAAGAAUUUGUCGACUGUCAUAUUAUUAUCAAGAUUUUUAGCAAUGAGUGAACAGUUUUUUAAAUUGUGAUUAUAACGGGGCAUCACAAAUAAAAAGCGUUAUGGACAUAAAAAAAUGAGCUUUUAAUGUAAGGUCUCGUGCGUUUAAAAGUGCCUCACAAAAACAAUUACAACUGGAAAUACUUCGAUUGCAUGACCAUGUGCUGAAUGAAAAUUAUUACAUUCACAUUAAACAGUGAUAAUGUUAGUUUUACAGAUUUUAUUUUCAAAGAAGCUUAAAUGUGUCUUAUCAUGGUAGAGGUGUUUCUCUCAUGAAUUCGAGUAUCGUUGGAUACCCAAGGUUGAUGGACAUGUUAUCUAAUAAAAAUUUUAAAGGGACUCCACUGUAUUUUUUUCACAUGGCGAGACUGGAAAUUAUUUUCCCAGAUAAAUGUUCCUGGACCAUCUGAAGCAGUCAAGACCAAUUAACUUUGUGCAAAAUUUCAGAUCAUUCGCUCACUCAGUUUUUCCAGAAUAUUUAUUCGAAUAAAUUGUUUAAAAUGACCCUUUUUCAAUUCUGGCUAAGAAAAGCACGAACAAUAUAAUUUUUAAUCUAUUUCUAACUACCUGUGCAUAUAUUCCCGCUAUUAGUGCAUAAACUCAUUUAUGUAAGAAAUUCAAAUUUUAUGUUAUUAGGCUUUGAUACCUUCUAGAGUCCCUUUAAUGAUUCGGGUGUAUCCGAAAAGUCAUUGUGAAUGUUGUGUCGAGGAUGACAUGUCCAUGAUUAGGCUAUGUACAUUGUAUAACAAGCAAAAGAGAAUAGCCAUGUCGACUUAGUGCCAAUACUUUCAAAACAAGUCUUUUAAUGUUCAAAUGUCUUGUAAACAAAAGCAACAAUUAAAUUAAAGUUCUAAAACUGUUUUAAAGUGAGGCUUGUUUAGUCUACAUAUUUAUAUGUAAUAAAGAACAAUGUGCAUUUAGUUCUAUCGAAAUUGAUUUAUGUUCUUUGGAGGUGGUUCUUUGUAGAACAAUAUGUGUGAUUCCCUGACUAUAGCAUAUUGGUGCAAUUGUUACAUGUAUUUUGUUUUUUGAAGGAACUCCACUGAGGUCCAAUAGCCGAAAUAUAUGUAAUGUGAAAUUCUUAAAAUAUAAAUCUACUUAGACAUUUAAAACAGAUCACUGUCAAAAUAUAAUUAAUAAAUAUACUCAGAAAUAAAUCGAAAAACGUGUUUUUUGUAUUAUUCUUAGUUCGAAUUUAGUGCAACACUAUUCAAGUUUGGAAUAUUUUUCAAAAUUAGAAUAUUUAUUCUGAAAAAAAGAUAGUGAGCUUGGCAGACAAGUUAUUGAUCUAUUUCAAGAUUAAUUAUUGAGCAUUAAUCUUGAAAAAAGAAAUAUUUUCAAUCCCGUCGUGUCAAACAAAAAAACUCACUGGAGUCCCUCUAACGUAACAGAGUACAUGUACAUAUUUCAUAGGAAAAUUAAUGCCCUUGUUUGACACUAUGAUAUAUUGAUGAAAAAGAAAUAUUGAUAUAUAACUAUAUACUUGUAAUGAUUUGUUUAUUCACCUUUAUACUUAUUUUUACCUAUGUACCCGUUGAUAGUCAUUUCCCAUAAGUAUUUUCUUACCUAACGACUAUCACUUGUACAGUUUAAUUGUUAAUUUCAUCUAAAGUUAAGAUUGCAUGUCUUAUGAAUAUCAUAAUUGUUGCUUUAAAGUGACCUUAUGCUUUUUUUUUCGUUGUCAACUUGAGCUGAAUUGGUUAUAUAUUUAAAAUGAUUGACUGUUAUAACAGCCAUUGGCCAAUAGUUGAUAAUAUAAAAUGUUUAGGAUGAAGUAUAACAAUUGUCUAUAAUACAAAAAUAACAGCCCAACUCUUUUUCACAAUUGAAUGUUGAAGAUAUUUAUAGCAUUUUAUGUGAGCAACGUUGGUCAUAUGCACAUGACCUAAAACAAUUAGGUCUAUGCCCAAAUUAUUUUGACUUUGACAUGUAAACCCACCAUUUACACUUGCAUGGGCAUAAUGUCACUUUAAGACCUUAUAUUUUUAUAGAUUUGCAUUUUCUUUAAGGGUAUAUGAUAUGUGCAAGAUAUAUUCUGAUACUUGAAAGACUAAGUGUAUAUUAAAUUUUUGGAUUUUUCUGUAACAUUCUUCUUUUCUCCACACUAAUCUCUAGGUGAGAAUUUGCCAAUAUUGCAUUUUUUCUAUUUUGCAUUUUAUUCUUUUUCAUAGUUAUUAUUAAUAUCAUUAUUUUGCU
Ruditapes philippinarum (Manila clam) is the source of this 2613-nucleotide long non-coding RNA. RefSeq lists it as uncharacterized. NCBI's taxonomy places the organism in Eukaryota, Metazoa, Mollusca, Bivalvia, Venerida, Veneridae. The record is from RefSeq and is a predicted model, not a curated record. The transcript has 3 exons.